This 1313-nucleotide long non-coding RNA is filed under the name Mustela putorius furo (domestic ferret). Its description in RNAcentral is "lncRNA (ENSMPUG00000031335.1)". The record is from RNAcentral. Lineage: Eukaryota; Metazoa; Chordata; Mammalia; Carnivora; Mustelidae.
AAGAGCCCUAACGAUUGUUACAGCUGUGGUCCCAACAGUCCUCAGGGGCAGAGAGGAUGUUGAGGAUGUCAAUGUUGUUUGUUCAAAAGCCUGCAGAGGCCAAAUCCAGGCCUAGAACAUAACACUGGAUUUCAUCCAUAUUUAUUGAACCGAAUGGUAUGAAUUGAACUGCAAUGGAGACAAUGACCCCGUGAGUCGAAGUACCUUGCCGAAAGUUGCACGGCCAGUAAGAAUGAGGUUGAAUUCAGAAUUUGAAGCCAUUUGCCUGACUUUGCUGUGUUAUGAGAAUCCCACAUUCCAAGCUGAAUUUACGACAAUGAAGUUUCCCCUGCGCUAUACGGCUGAGGAAGAGACACAGAGAGGAGGCCAAGCAAACGAGAGGCAGAGGUUGAACGUCAAGCCUGCCCUGAAGUCAGCUGUUCUGUCUCCCACCCCAGCCGGCUUCUUGGUUAAUGGACCUCAGUUUCUUAGCACAAGAUGGAGGGGUCGGUGGGAGAAGCAGACUCCCCGUUGAGCAGAGAGCCUGAUGCAGGGCUCCAUCCCAGGACCCCGGGAUCAUGAUCUGAGCUGAAGAUAGACGCUUCACUGACUGACCCCCCAGGUAUCACCCACUGUGUUUUUGUAACGAACUAAACUCUAUUCCUGAUCAACUUUAGCCUCGUCUAUGCGAUUUCUUUCACAUCAUUUCCUGCUAAUGUCUUGUCUUUAAUCCUCUAUCCCCAGGUCUACAUCGCGCCGUGUUUGUGAGGAAAAGGGAUCUUGGCACUGCUUGCUGCGUGCGGCUCCGCGUCUGGCUUGGGCCCCCUUUGCAUGUAAGAGCUUCAAAAAUAUGUGAAUAGUGAGUAAAAGAAGUGGUAACAAAAGAAUUUUUGGACAUAUUCAUUGUUUUCGGCUUGAUAGGACAAAUCGCGUCACCUUGCUGAUGAUAGAACUCCAAGUAAAUUCUAAAGAAGCGUGUUCCAUCAAUCCUAUUUUAUUACACAAAUAACUCUCUCUCUGCUUUGUGUCCGGAACAACUGAUAUCAGUCACCUCCUUAUUUCUAGCAAGCAGCUUAUUUUCUUGCUACAGUGAUCUAAUUUGCCAAUUGAAUCACUAAUAACCAGUUUCUGACCCCUGCUUCUCCACCUCAAGAAUAAUUUAACAGAUAGAUAGUACUUUGUUUCAAAGUCCAUUAGAAUAUCAGAAGAAUGCUUUGUUAAUGACUGAAAGCAUGUGAUAAAAUUUAAUUAUAUAAUUAAUCGUUGGCAGAGAAGUAGAUAAUUUGGUUUUACCCUUACUCUAAUCAUACCUCUAUUCUGUUUUUUAAAUAGGU